RNAcentral lists this ribosomal RNA (741 nucleotides) under Canoparmelia texana. Its description in RNAcentral is "partial large subunit ribosomal RNA". It matches the Rfam family "Eukaryotic large subunit ribosomal RNA", at positions 79 to 846 of the family's 3401-position model. Lineage: Eukaryota; Fungi; Ascomycota; Lecanoromycetes; Lecanorales; Parmeliaceae. The record is from RNAcentral.
UUCAGUACGGCGAGUGAAGCGGCAAGCUCAAAUUUGAAAUCUGGGGGUCCGAGUUGUAAUUUGCAGAGAGUGUUUCGGGCGAGGCCGCGGUCUAAGUCCAUUGGAACAUGGUGUCAUAGAGGGUGAGAAUCCCGUAUGCGACCGUGGUCCGAGCCCAUGUGAAGCCUCUUCGACGAGUCGAGUUGUUUGGGAAUGCAGCUCUAAAUGGGUGGUAAAUUUCAUCUAAAGCUAAAUACUGGCUGGAGACCGAUAGCGCACAAGUAGAGUGAUCGAAAGAUGAAAAGCACUUUGAAAAGAGAGUUAAACAGUACGUGAAAUUGUUGAAAGGGAAGCGCUUGCGACCAGACCUGCCCGUAGGUGAUCAGCCUCUGUUCUCAGGGGUGCACUCGCUCUACGAUCAGGCCAGCAUCGGUUUGGGCGGUCGGAUAAAGGCCUUGGGAAUGUAGCUUCCUUUCGGGGGAGUCUUAUAGCCCUCGGUGCAAUGCGGCCAGCCGGGACCGAGGACCGCGCUUCGGCUAGGAUGCUGGCGUAAUGGUUGCAAGCGACCCGUCUUGAAACACGGACCAAGGAGUCUAACAUCUAUGCGAGUGUUUGGGUGUCAAACCCAUACGCGGAAUGAAAGUGAACGGAGGUGAGAACCCUUAAGGGUGCAUCAUCGACCGAUUCAGAUGUCUUCGGAUGGAUUUGAGUAUGAGCAUAGCUGUUGGGACCCGAAAGAUGGUGAACUAUGCCUGAAUAGGG